Molecule: long non-coding RNA, 461 nt
Organism: Canis lupus familiaris (dog)
Lineage: Eukaryota; Metazoa; Chordata; Mammalia; Carnivora; Canidae
Exons: 2
Source: RefSeq, a predicted model, not a curated record
GCCGUCAAGCCCGCGCCGCCGCUCGCUGUGGGGCGGCCCCGGGCGUGGCGGGCGACGUGGCCCCGGGGCCUCCUGAGUUGAAGGCAGCUGCCCCCAGGAGCGUUUUUCAGCUGCGAAGUGUGUUGAACUAACUCCACGGCGUACGCUUUGUGCUUUCAGUCAAGGCAGUGCUCAGCUGAAAGGUUGACAAAACGGUGGCCGGAUGCGAUUGAUUUCAUGCAGUAAUUAAUUAACAAGUCUUCUGAGUCUUCGGGGGGAGACACCUGUGGCUGGAAGUCUGCCGUUCUGAUUGGCAGUGCCUGAGACACACAUCGGCCUCAUUGUCCCCCUGCAACAACCUAACAGAUUGUAGGUGUUGCAUCGUUUGGCUCAGAUAAUAGUGUUCAUAGUUAUGUAUUUCAAACCCGACCCCAAAACUGCCUAGUUUUCUAGUUGCUGAAGAGAACGAAGGCGUCAACUUC